This 445-nucleotide ribosomal RNA is filed under the name uncultured bacterium. RNAcentral's name for it is "bacterial SSU rRNA". It matches the Rfam family "Bacterial small subunit ribosomal RNA", at positions 330 to 792 of the family's 1533-position model. The record is from RNAcentral.
ACCAGACUCCUACGGGAGGCAGCAGUGGGGAAUAUUGCACAAUGGGGGGAACCCUGAUGCAGCGACGCCGCGUGGGUGAAGGAGUACUUCGGUACGUAAAGCCCUAUCAGCAGGAAAGAAAAUGACGGUACCUGACUAAGAAGCCCCGGCUAACUACGUGCCAGCAGCCGCGGUAAUACGUAGGGGGCAAGCGUUAUCCGGAUUCACUGGGUGUAAAGGGAGCGUAGACGGCCAUGCAAGCCUGGAGUGAAAGCCCGGGGCCCAACCCCGGGACUGCUCUGGGAACUGUGCGGCUGGAGUGCGGGAGGGGCAGGCGGAAUUCCUGGUGUAGCGGUGAAAUGCGUAGAUAUCAGGAGGAACACCGGCGGCGAAGGCGGCCUGCUGGACCGCGACUGACGUUGAGGCUCGAAAGCGUGGGGAGCAAACAGGAUUAGAUACCCGAGUA